Non-coding RNA from Acanthosepion pharaonis, 110 nucleotides. Lineage: Eukaryota; Metazoa; Mollusca; Cephalopoda; Sepiida; Sepiidae. The record is from the annotation of a GenBank genome assembly.
ACAACCAUAUCACGUUGAAACAUUGGUUCUCGUCCGAUCACCGAAUUUAAGCAAUGUCGAACCUCGUCAGUACCUAGAUAGGUGACUGCUUAGGAAUACCAGGUGCUGUA